This 565-nucleotide small RNA is filed under the name Pan troglodytes (chimpanzee). Its description in RNAcentral is "processed transcript". The record is from RNAcentral. Lineage: Eukaryota; Metazoa; Chordata; Mammalia; Primates; Hominidae.
AGCACUGAGCCUGCCAGGGCUGGGGCUGGGGAUCACCUUGGGAUGAUGGUGUCAGUCCCAGGGGGCAGGAGAUCGAGUGUCCUCUGAGCUGGCGACUGGGCUUGUAGAAGGGAACCGGCAUUUGUGGAGUGUCUAGUGAGUGCCAAGGUCUGCGCUGGGCACUGUCCUCGCACCGCCUCACCUAGUCCUCACGUAGCCCUCGGGCAAGUGAGGAUCCGCCGGGACCGCGGCUGGGAGGGAUGGCUGUGGCUGUCCCCCAGCCCACACAGUAGGCGCUCAGUGUCAGGGUGCAUAUUCCCGGGGACGCCCUCCAGGCCUGAGAGCUGGGGGCCGCCGCCGCCCCCCAUGCAUCCGCCCUAGCUCAGAGGCUCAGGUUGGGCUGUGAAGACCUUGCUGCAUAUGGGUUCACCUGAGCCACCAGGCACGGGCCAUGCUGAUGAUACCAGCUUUCAGCGCGUGGUGAGGUGUGUAUGGCUUCCCGUGGACUCAGCCUCUUCCCCGAGUCCUGUCCAGAUUUCUGCUGUGGUACCUGUUAUGACCAAUACUGCUGCUCUGACGUGCUGAA